UCCCACCACCGCCUCGAGAAGAGGCGAAACUCAAAGGGAUGCUCCCUCACCCCCUUCCUCCUUCCAAAGACGUUUCAGCCGCAAUUGGCCCGUUCCUUCGAUCUCCGACCCGCUGCUAGGGAGCGAAAGUCUGUGACUAAUUUUAGACCUUAAUUGUAGUAGCAUAUGUGUUGUGCUUGGUGGCAGUAGGAAAGGACUGAGCAGGAAAUACCGGACCCAGAUUCUGGCUGGUUAGAAAGAGUAACAGAUACCAGA
Molecule: long non-coding RNA, 255 nt
Filed under: Homo sapiens (human)
Lineage: Eukaryota; Metazoa; Chordata; Mammalia; Primates; Hominidae
Description: HSALNT0179315
Source: RNAcentral